This 611-nucleotide ribosomal RNA is filed under the name Thalassotalea fusca. Its description in RNAcentral is "bacterial SSU rRNA". It matches the Rfam family "Bacterial small subunit ribosomal RNA", at positions 65 to 665 of the family's 1533-position model. The record is from RNAcentral. Lineage: Bacteria; Pseudomonadati; Pseudomonadota; Gammaproteobacteria; Alteromonadales; Colwelliaceae.
AGCGGUAACAGGAAAUAGCUUGCUAUUUUGCUGACGAGCGGCGGACGGGUGAGUAAUGCUUGGGAAUAUGCCUUUAGGUGGGGGACAACAGUUGGAAACGACUGCUAAUACCGCAUAAUGUCUACGGACCAAAGAGGGGGACCUUCGGGCCUCUUGCCUUUAGAUUAGCCCAAGUGAGAUUAGCUAGAUGGUGAGGUAAUGGCUCACCAUGGCGACGAUCUCUAGCUGGUUUGAGAGGAUGAUCAGCCACACUGGGACUGAGACACGGCCCAGACUCCUACGGGAGGCAGCAGUGGGGAAUAUUGCACAAUGGGCGAAAGCCUGAUGCAGCCAUGCCGCGUGUGUGAAGAAGGCCUUCGGGUUGUAAAGCACUUUCAGUCGUGAGGAAAGGUGUGUAGUUAAUAGCUGCAUACUGUGACGUUAGCGACAGAAGAAGGACCGGCUAACUCCGUGCCAGCAGCCGCGGUAAUACGGAGGGUCCGAGCGUUAAUCGGAAUUACUGGGCGUAAAGCGUGCGUAGGCGGUUCAUUAAGUCAGAUGUGAAAUCCCGGGGCUCAACCUCGGAACUGCAUUUGAAACUGGUGAACUAGAGUAUUGUAGAGGGUGGUGGA